RNAcentral lists this ribosomal RNA (117 nucleotides) under Otolemur garnettii (small-eared galago). The record is from RNAcentral. Lineage: Eukaryota; Metazoa; Chordata; Mammalia; Primates; Galagidae.
CUCUACGGCCACACUACCCUGAACACACUUGAUCUUGUCUGAUUUUAGAACCUAAGGAGGGGUGGGCUGGUUAGCAAUUGGAUAGGAGAGGUUAACUUGCUUAUUGCACUGAAGAAA